This 631-nucleotide ribosomal RNA is filed under the name Chiropterotriton orculus. RNAcentral describes it as "partial large subunit ribosomal RNA". It matches the Rfam family "Bacterial large subunit ribosomal RNA", at positions 1569 to 2547 of the family's 2925-position model. The record is from RNAcentral. Lineage: Eukaryota; Metazoa; Chordata; Amphibia; Caudata; Plethodontidae.
CACAUGUAAAUCAAAACGAACUAUCACUGAUAAUUAACGAAAAUAUUUACUUUAACUAGAAUUUAAAUUUCUUAAACCGUUUACCCAACACAGGUGUAUAAAAGAAAGACUUAAAGCUUAAGAAGGAACUCGGCAAACCCAGGCUUCGCCUGUUUACCAAAAACAUCGCCUUUUGACAAAUAAAUAUGAAAGGUCCUGCCUGCCCAGUGAUAAUUAUUCAACGGCCGCGGUAUUAUGACCGUGCAAAGGUAGCAUAAUCACUUGUCUUCUAAAUCAAGACCAGCAUGAACGGCAAAACGAAAGCCUAACUGUCUCCUUAAGUUAGUCAAUGAAAUUGAUCUUUUCGUGCAGAAGCGAGAAUAUAAAUAUAAGACGAGAAGACCCUGUGGAGCUUUAAAAUAAUAUUAUAUAAAUAUCUUAUAAUAAUAUAAAUUUUUAGGUUGGGGCGACCAUGAGGUAAAGUAAAACCCUCAAGAAAAUAAUUAGAAGGACACUUCAAACUAAAUAUAAUAUCUAUAUAUGACCCAAUAAUGAUCAACGAACCAAGUUACCCCAGGGAUAACAGCGCAAUCCAUUCCCAAAGUCCAUAUCGACGGAUGGGUUUACGACCUCAAGUUGGAUCAGGACAUCC